CUCUGGCCUUGAUCUCUGCGGGCCCUGGGUAGAAGCCCGUCGGGUCACGAGCGAUCUGUCCUCCUGUUCCACACAAGCCCUUUUAGAUCAUUUACCAAGUGGAUCCCCUAAAUUCUCAAACAAACAAACAAACAAAUUUCUAAGCAAACAACGAGUUUGCUCUGUCAGCAGCGGGGUCUCCAAAAUACACAGAACCUGCUGUACAAUUCAUCCAGCAGGGGGCACCCGACCAGUGAACAGGACAGACCCCCCCCCCCCCCCCAGUUAUCCACACCUGCUUCUGGAGGGGCUCCCAGGGGGCCCCACCUCAAACGGGUCUGCGGGAGGCGUUGUGUUCCCCGUCCCCCAAACCAUCGUCUGACUACCCCUUCUCACCUCUCCCUCCCCCCCCAAGUAUUUGCCCCAUGAGGUUGUAAGCCUGUUAUUAGCCCAGACAUGGUGGGAGGGGGGCGGGCAGUGCAUGAACCGAAGGAAGAACAGAGGGAGCAGAUGAACUGUCCUGGGGCCAUCGGGGGCUUUGCCGGGAAACGUGGCCAGAAUUUCUCACAACCUUCUAGGAAGCUGACUCAUCUGGAAGAGGGUAGCAAGGAGGCCGUGCAUUUGGUGUCCCCUCUUAACGUCAUUUUAAGGUCACCCGGGAGGAGAGUCUGUCCAGUUGCUGACUGCGCGUGAGAAAGGAAGGCUGUGUUCUCAGUGACACAGACGAGUUGUUCCACACACGGUCCAUCGCGGAGACGGGAGUUCUCACCAUGUUUUUUGAUAGCAAACCCUCAGGUAUUGAAAAGCCCAGCUCCUCGGUGUCUGGUAUCCUGAGACUCAGCUUGUCUGAGGCGCAGUGUCACGGGAGACCCUUCUCUUUGUCUUCCCCCCUUAACGCAUUUCCUUGCCUUGCUCAUCUCCUGUCACACCUCCUCCUGGGAGGCUCAGGCCAGCGUGGGGGUGACACCCUACGCUGCCUCCUAAUCGGCCGCCGUGGCUCGCUCGCUCUCUCGGCUCACGUCCUGCUCCAGAAAUAGAAGCAUUUAACGCAGACCAAGCCCCUCCAGUCCCCCUCCCUGACGCCCUGCCCGCGUUCCUUCUGUCCCGGAGACACACACAGUUGCAGGUGGACGACCUCCUCUCUGGCAGUUCCGCAAAGGUCAGAAAACUGAGACGCAGAAAAAAGAAAAUGCCAACCUGGGAAUUACUCAGUGUGUGUCCGUGCAGAAGGCCAGGCCUUUUAGAAGAUAAAUAUCACAGAUGGAGAGAGUGCUCGGGGACCUUUGUGUUGUCACAGUUUACUGCGAGAUUUAUAAAGUCCACGCUGCUGAAUCUGGCCUCCAGUUCAGCACCCGGACAUCCUCGAGGCCCAGCUUCGUCUGUUUGCUGCCCCAGACCUAUUGCCUCCCUUCCUUCCGCCUGCUCCCCAUUUCUGGGAUUUGGGGUUCCGUUGACCCCCGCUGAGAUGGAAUGUUCCUUGCUGGGUUUUUCAACUGUGGCCAGGAAGUUGGGGUCAUUUUCUGAAGAAAAAUAAUUUGCCUUCUAGAAGUUUUUAGUAAAAGAAGAACUCUAGAAAGUAGGUUUUGUGAUCAUCUACGUCUGGGAGAAAACAAUCAAUUAGGUCAAGGUCUCUGCCACUAACCAGAGGCAACACCAGAGGAAGGAAUAACCAGAGGAAAGAAAAGAAGUUGCUAGGCUACAUCCGGUAGCUGAAAUUUGGGAAAUUUCCUCUCAGCUGGAUCAGAGAGGAAUGUUCCUCAGGAGGGUCACUCGAAACACAUGUUGCACGUUGGUACCUGCAGUCGUGUGUCUGACAGUGUAUUCCAUUCUUAAUACCGACCUUGGCAUUCGGAGCCCCGGGGUGUGGAGUCGGCCAGGUGUGAACGUGCUUUCACAUUAGGGUAGCUCAGACUUGGGGGCCCCACAGGACAAUGGGUGUGGCUCGUGACUCCGCUGUUUCCAAUCCACGUGGUUUUGAGGGUGAUCACUAGAAAUCACUGAACUUCACAAAGCCCCUGUCUGCCUCGCUUCCACGAUGGGCGUAAGGACAAGCCUACACCUUGUGAUAGUUGGGAAAAUGGAAUAACGGGAUACAGGCCACAUACCUACACUGUGUCCCUCCCGUCCCCAGGUCUGAAUUUCUCCUGAGAGAUCAGACAGCAAAAACAUAUGGCACUGAGGGCGAUGGCCAUAACUCACUUCCCAGCUUCGGACACCUGCUGUGAUAUCCACACCGAUCCACUGCUUCAGGCCUCUGUUUCUCGAUGGGCCAGACUGAGCCCAGAGUGUAAACCAGGAUCCCCUUAGUGCUGAAGAGCGUCUGGAGAGGGAAACGGAGUCCUUCUGUGAAAAACAGUAACGUUACCGCUGCUUAGCGUCUACAGUGAUCAACUGUGAUCACGCCGUGUUGGGGACAUAAGUGUUUUAUUUGACAGCUAACUGCAGGCUAACGAACACACAGAGCAAAGUUUUCGUAGGUAUGACACAGCCAAUCGUCCACAUUCACAGGGUUUAUGUUGCAUUUUCUGCCGUGUCAAGAGAGGAAGAAAAAUGGAGCCAAGAACUUGGGUUGUAAUUGUAGUCCUCCUCACCUGGGUGUGGUCGUGCACCUGUUAAGAGCUUCAUGAGCUCUCAUCCGCCCUCUCCUUUCCUGGACCCCAGCCACUGGAGAAGCUUUAAAAAAAUAUCUUUCAUGAGGAACAAAUGCCAUUAGUAUGAAGACUGUCUUCUAUGGUUUUGAGGCAAGAUAUUAAGGCAGACGUUUGCAUUUUCCAGAGACAGGUGCCAGAAUGUAGCAAAAGAGAACAUAGUAAAAGUCUCCAAAUGAGUGCCAAAGGCUUUUUACUCCAAAGAAUGUCUGUCGAGUCUGUGCACUACAUAAACUAAGAAGAACCUUGGCCCCUGGUGACCAAAAUAGGGGUAAGAAGACUGCAGUUCAGCGUCUGCAUGGCCCAUCUCCUCUCCAGGCGAAACAGUACGGAAGAGGGGACCAUCCCCUGCCCUGUCACUGCUGGCACUCCGGUGCAGCUGGCCGGGUGACUGCCUGCUAGGUCCUCGCGGUGGCCGCUGUUAUCGGGGCACCGUGGAGACGCCCGGAUCCGAGGCCUGCAGAAAGUUCACCGAUCCCGAUCUCCUCCUCAGGCUCGACUCCAACAUCGUGGAACAUUUUGUGUCACUUGGCACUGUGUUUAUUCUAGAAAAUGGAAUAGAAGAACAAUUUGUCUUGGCCUUAAGGUAUUGCCAUUUCCCUUUCUUACUGAUUUUGUAAACCAAAAUAUAAAAUAUGUAACUAUGUGA
Neofelis nebulosa (Clouded leopard) is the source of this 3276-nucleotide long non-coding RNA. RefSeq lists it as uncharacterized. Lineage: Eukaryota; Metazoa; Chordata; Mammalia; Carnivora; Felidae. The record is from RefSeq and is a predicted model, not a curated record. The transcript has 2 exons.